This is a long non-coding RNA of Triticum dicoccoides, 1124 nucleotides long. RefSeq lists it as uncharacterized. NCBI's taxonomy places the organism in Eukaryota, Viridiplantae, Streptophyta, Magnoliopsida, Poales, Poaceae. The transcript has 2 exons. The record is from RefSeq and is a predicted model, not a curated record.
AGGCCGCCGCCCCGCCCCGUUCCCGCGAACCUUCUACCAGCGCCACCUCCGGACAACCACCCGGCCGCCGCCGCGCCGCCCUGAACUCCUCAACCUUCUGCUUCAACGACCCCAACCGCGCCCCUCCCCGAUCCGGCCCCGCCGCGCCGCCUCCGACGAGCCAUGGCGGCCGCACACUUCCUGCGCCCUUCCACCCCGCAGCGGCGCCGCCCAGCAAGAUCCCCUCUGCCACUGUGGCUCACGGCCAGCGCGACCUAUCUCCCACAGCCGGAUUCGUCUGUCCCGGCCCCGUACGCAGCUGCGGGCACCACGGUGACCUUCCACCUCCAGGCGCUCUGAGCCGCCACGCCCGCUCCAGGCUAGCCGCCCCAUCCCAUCCCCCACAACCGCAGCCUCCGACGACACUCCAGGCAACGGAUCGAGGCAUCUCCGGCCCGAUCCCGUCGCCAUGUUCCCUGGAGGUGAGGGAUCCCGAGCGGCCUUCCCCGCUCUGACGUUCAGUCCGAUGAUGCUCCGCCUACAGUGCACUUGUUGGGCGCGUGCAAAAACAUCCCCUCCCUGCUCUGUAGUGUGCCUCACUGUCACGGUAGCGCGGCGGGUGCAGCUUGGUUGUGUGGCAGAAACAGAGAAGCUACGAUGCAGUCCAUUCCCCCGAGCAAGCUACAUCACCUCCCCCUGACUUUUCAGUUCAUGGUCGUGCAGUACUCUGGUGACGCCACAACGGUGUUGUUGCACUGGGUGCUCCUAGUGCACUUCAAAGAUUUUUUGGUUUGUUCAUAUUUGCACGGCAGUGCACUUCAACCUGGGGGUGCCCCUAUGUCAUUCAUGUUUUUUUGGCUCUUUUAGUUUUUUAUAUGUUGUACUUGUAAGGUGUGGUUCCCUUCUAUUUUUGAACGGGGCAAACACAUUAAAAAGGCCGGUCUGAAUGGCCCCUAACCGGCCGUUCACCUCGCCGAUGCUUGCAGUCCAGCCUUGCAGUUUGCGGACAUGGCCAUGGCAUGAAGUUUGGUUAGAGCAGGCAUGAGGUUCGGCCAGACCAUGGGUGCAUUUUUUAGUGUAUCCGCCUCACGCUAUUUUUAUGUGUUCGCAAUGCAAAAGAGAAAAAAGAUGUAGUACGCUUGCCU